AAGGCCCAACCAACCCCACUGGAA
RNAcentral lists this microRNA (24 nucleotides) under Gallus gallus (chicken). RNAcentral's name for it is "microRNA Ros-gga". Lineage: Eukaryota; Metazoa; Chordata; Aves; Galliformes; Phasianidae. The record is from RNAcentral.